GACGAACGCUGGCGGCGUGCUUAACACAUGCAAGUCACGGGGGCCCGCAAGGGUAACCGGCGAACGGGUGCGUAACACGUGAGCAAUCUGCCGUACACUGGGGGAUAGCCGGCCCAACGGCCGGGUAAUACCGCAUACGUUCCUCGCCUGGCAUCAGGUGGGGAGGAAACCUCCGGGGGUGUACGAGGAGCUCGCGGCCUAUCAGCUAGUUGGUGGGGUAACGGCCUACCAAGGCGAUGACGGGUAGCUGGUCUGAGAGGAUGGCCAGCCACAUUGGGACUGAGAUACGGCCCAGACUCCUACGGGAGGCAGCAGUGGGGAAUAUUGCGCAAUGGCCGCAAGGACUGACGCAGCGACGCCGCCGUGGGGGA
Molecule: ribosomal RNA, 371 nt
Filed under: uncultured bacterium
Lineage: Bacteria
Description: bacterial SSU rRNA
Rfam family: Bacterial small subunit ribosomal RNA
Source: RNAcentral